GCCAGGCAUGGUGGCAUAUGCCUGUAAUCCCAGCUGCUUGGGAAGCUGAGGCAGGAGGAUCGAGAGUUCAAAGCCAGCCUUGGCAACUUAGCAAGGCUCUGAGCAACUUACUGAGAGAUCCUGUGUCUA
Molecule: small RNA, 129 nt
Filed under: Marmota monax (woodchuck)
Lineage: Eukaryota; Metazoa; Chordata; Mammalia; Rodentia; Sciuridae
Source: RNAcentral